UACGUAGGGGGCAAGCGUUGUCCGGAUUUAUUGGGCGUAAAGAGCGUGUAGGCGGCUAGAUAGGUCCGUUGUGAAAACUGGAGGCUUAACCUCCAGACGUCGACGGAAACCGUAUGGCUAGAGUCCGGAAGAGGAGGGUGGAAUUCCUGGUGUAGCGGUGAAAUGCGCAGAUAUCAGGAAGAACACCAAUGGCGAAGGCAGCUCUCUGGGACGGUACUGACGCUGAGACGCGAAAGCGUGGGGAGCGAACAGG
This 253-nucleotide ribosomal RNA is filed under the name uncultured bacterium. RNAcentral describes it as "partial 16S ribosomal RNA". It matches the Rfam family "Bacterial small subunit ribosomal RNA", at positions 524 to 776 of the family's 1533-position model. The record is from RNAcentral.